RNAcentral lists this ribosomal RNA (475 nucleotides) under uncultured archaeon. RNAcentral describes it as "bacterial SSU rRNA". It matches the Rfam family "Archaeal small subunit ribosomal RNA", at positions 132 to 591 of the family's 1478-position model. The record is from RNAcentral.
CCGGGAAACUGGGGCUAAUACCCGAUAGGCGGAAAAGCCUGGAAUGGUCUUCCACCUAAAGGGCUUCAGGAACAUGCUCCUGAGGUUGCCUAAGGAUGAGACUGCGGCCGAUCAGGUUGUUGGUGGGGUAACGGCCUACCAAGCCUAUAACCGGUACGGGCCCUGAGAGGGGGAGCCCGGAGAUGGGAACUGAGACAAGGUCCCACACCCUACGGGGUGCAGCAGUUGCCAAACCUCUACAAUGCACGAAAGUGUGAUAGGGUUAUCCCGAGUGCCGUCCGAUGAGGAUGGCUUUCCCCCGGUGUAAGGAGCCGGGGGAAUAAAGGGGGGGCAAGACUGGUGUCAGCCGCCGCGGUAAUACCAGCCCCCUGAGUGGUAGGGACGAUUAUUUGGCCUAAAGCGUCCGUAGCCGGCUUAGCAAGUCCUUCGUUAAAUCCGGCGACUUAAUCGUCGGGAUGCGAGGGAUACUACUGGG